CACUACUAGAAAAAGUAGAUAUAACAUCGCGGCUUCCACAUCGGUCUUAAAAACCACCGAUGUUAAAAAUGUUUUUAACAUCAAAAAUGAAAAAACUGAUGUUAAAAAGCAUUUUAGACAUCGGUAUUUAUAAUCACCGAUAUCUUUUCUUCAGUUUGAAAAUUAUAAAAACACGGGACUUUUGUUUCCCCCUUUUAACACACUAAAACAUACCGCCUUUCUUACAAACAUUCCCCUUGACCAGAUUUUUAUUUUUCCUCUUUCUCUCUAUCGGCUCUCAUCUCAUCUCAAUCUCUUCUCUCUUAAUCUCCUUCAAUCUCUCUCUCUCCCUCCGUCCAUCUCCCUCCCCCGUCUUUCUCUCACCAUCAAUAUCAAACACACUAACUCACCAAUAUGAAUCUGUUUUAUUUAACCCUGAUUGCAGUACUAGCUCGAAGAAGAUCCGUUCGAUUUACAAGGUAACUUGGAGGAUCUCAAUUAGUUCGAAUGGAUUUCAGAUUUGUGAUGGGGUCAAUUCGAUUUUUUGGUUUGGAACGGUUCAAUUGGGUUUUAGGGUUUCAAUUAGCAAAGCAGGUCUCUUGUUCUCUAUAUCUAUCUUCUUCUUCUUCAUGACUUUCAUUUCAGUCAGACUUGUGCAUAAAAUAGUUAAAGAAUUUUGUAAGCCAGGAGGGGGGCUUCCUUUAUUGGAGCAAGUUUCGAUCCCUACUGCCUCAUUGAAACUCUGGAAGGAAAGAUAUGACUGAUGCAUUGUCUUCCAAUAGUCAAUGAGAAGGGAACUUAGCGGGUGAUGUCACCAAUACAUAUAAGGAGGUGAGAAUUUUAAGUACUUUAUAAUGUUUGCUAAGAGCAAAGGUGAUGUCCUAUGGUUUGCCCUCAUAUUGCUCUAUUGGCAGUCUGGAGUUCUUCCUCAGUGUUAGGCAAACCAUAGGAUCCUUGAUGCAGAUGCUACUUGUUUAGAAGUCCCAUUGGAGCAUGUUGCCUCCAAUUUGGAAAAUUAUGACCUUGUUGUUGAAGAUAGUGAACGAGCGGUGUCCGAAUCUGCAUGCGUAUCUAUUGUUGUGCUUGGUGCUUCUGGUGAUCUUGCAAAAAAGACUCUCCCUGAACUCUUGCACAUCUAAAUUUCGUUGUGAUAGUUGGCUUGUGUUGAUGGUUUCAUGUCAUUAUAGAACUAGCUCUCUUCAUUUUGAUAUUGGACAUGUAUUUUGUACUAUGAGGCGAUAAAUUUAUGCUAAUAUUUUUAUGAUUAAUGUUCUAUAAUAUUUCUCUU
Daucus carota subsp. sativus is the source of this 1267-nucleotide long non-coding RNA. RefSeq lists it as uncharacterized. The transcript is spliced from 4 exons. The record is from RefSeq and is a predicted model, not a curated record. NCBI's taxonomy places the organism in Eukaryota, Viridiplantae, Streptophyta, Magnoliopsida, Apiales, Apiaceae.